GAAGGUAUAGCUCAGUGGUAGAGCUAGUGUUUCGCAUGCAUGAGGUCCUGGGCUCAAUCCCCAGUACCUCCA
Molecule: transfer RNA, 72 nt
Organism: Camelus ferus (Wild Bactrian camel)
Lineage: Eukaryota; Metazoa; Chordata; Mammalia; Artiodactyla; Camelidae
Rfam family: tRNA
About the family: Transfer RNA (tRNA) molecules are approximately 80 nucleotides in length. Their secondary structure includes four short double-helical elements and three loops (D, anti-codon, and T loops).
Source: Rfam